AGUCGAGCGGAGUGAUGGUGCUUGCACCUUCACUUAGCGGCGGAGGGGUGAGUAAGGCGUAGGAAUCUGCCAUUUAGUGGGGGACAACAUUCCGAAAGGGAUGCUAAUACCGCAUACGUCCUACGGGAGAAAGCAGGGGAUCUUCGGACCUUGCGCUAAAUGAUGAGCCUAAGUCGGAUUAGCUAGUUGGUGGGGUAAAGGCCUACCAAGGCGACGAUCUGUAGCGGGUCUGAGAGGAUGAUCCGCCACACUGGGACUGAGACACGGCCCAGACUCCUACGGGAGGCAGCAGUGGGGAAUAUUGGACAAUGGGCGGAAGCCUGAUCCAGCCAUGCCGCGUGUGUGAAGAAGGCCUUUUGGUUGUAAAGCACUUUAAGCGAGGAGGAGGCUACUAGUACUAAUACUACUGGAUAGUGGACGUUACUCGCAGAAUAAGCACCGGCUAACUCUGUGCCAGCAGCCGCGGUAAUACAGAGGGUGCGAGCGUUAAUCGGAUUUACUGGGCGUAAAGCGUGCGUACGCGGCUUUUUAAGUCGGAUGUGAAAUCCCCGAGCUUAACUUGGGAAUUGCAUUCGAUACUGGGAAGCUAGAGUAUGGGAGAGGAUGGUAGAAUUCCAGGUGUAGCGGUG
RNAcentral lists this ribosomal RNA (629 nucleotides) under Acinetobacter sp. DsA.N036. RNAcentral describes it as "bacterial SSU rRNA". It matches the Rfam family "Bacterial small subunit ribosomal RNA", at positions 60 to 683 of the family's 1533-position model. The record is from RNAcentral. Lineage: Bacteria; Pseudomonadati; Pseudomonadota; Gammaproteobacteria; Moraxellales; Moraxellaceae.